This 473-nucleotide ribosomal RNA is filed under the name uncultured bacterium. RNAcentral describes it as "bacterial SSU rRNA". It matches the Rfam family "Bacterial small subunit ribosomal RNA", at positions 791 to 1268 of the family's 1533-position model. The record is from RNAcentral.
UAGUCCACGCCCUAAACGAUGUAUACUCGAUGUUUGAUUUAAUUAUUGGGCAUCCAAGGGAAACCAUUAAGUAUACCACCUGGGGAGUACGUUGGCAACGAUGAAACUCAAAGGAAUUGACGGGGUCCGCACAAGCGGUGGAGCAUGUGGUUUAAUUCGAUGAUACGCGAGGAACCUUACCUAGGCUCGAACGCUAUUUGACCGUCUAUGAAAGUGAUUUUCCUUCGGGACGGAUAGUGAGGUGCUGCAUGGUUGUCGUCAGCUCGUGCCGUGAGGUGUUGGGUUAAGUCCCGCAACGAGCGCAACCCUUAUCCUUAGUUGCCAGCACAUAAUGGUGGGGACUCUAGGGAGACUGCCGGCGUAAGCCGCGAGGAAGGUGGGGACGACGUCAAAUCAUCAUGGCCUUUAUGCCUAGGGGCUACACACGUGCUACAAUGGUGCAUACAGCGGGUAGCGAAAUCGCGAGGUGGAGC